GUUUGGACUUCGAAAUUUUUCAAAAAUAGAAAGGGAAAAAAAUUGAAUGGGCCCUAUUCAACUGUAUUUCCCUACCGAUGUUCUAUUUUAGAAUGACCAAUGAUUUCAUGCAACCGUUGUAUAGUAAUAUUAUGUAACAACCUUAAAAAACCAUCUUAUAGCCAGUUGUAGAGUAAUAUGAUGUAACAACCUUAAAAAACGAUCUUAUAGCCAUUUGUUUGAUCCAAAUUUUUAAAUAUACAUCCUUUUCAUUCUAAUGAACAAUUACAAAAAAAGAAAAAUUGAAAACACAACCUAUAAAAUAUUUUUUUAGCCCAAUUAACAUAGACCGUUCAUUUUGGUGAG
Molecule: long non-coding RNA, 345 nt
Filed under: Amborella trichopoda
Lineage: Eukaryota; Viridiplantae; Streptophyta; Magnoliopsida; Amborellales; Amborellaceae
Description: long non-coding RNA (ATRI_LNC001815)
Source: RNAcentral